This 346-nucleotide ribosomal RNA is filed under the name uncultured bacterium. RNAcentral's name for it is "partial 16S rRNA". It matches the Rfam family "Bacterial small subunit ribosomal RNA", at positions 10 to 354 of the family's 1533-position model. The record is from RNAcentral.
AGUUUGAUCCUGGUCAGAGUGAACGCUGGCGGCGNGCUUAACACAUGNAAGUCGAACGGUAACAGCAGAGCUUGCUCUGGCUGACGAGUGGCGCACGGGUGAGUAAUCGAUAGUUAAUGUGCCCCAAAGACUAGGAUANCCACUGGAAACGGUGAUUAAUACUGGAUAAGCCUCUAUGACANAAGUCAGCGAGGAAAACGCUUUUUCGCUUUGGGAUCAGACUAUAUCCUAUCAGGUANUUGGUGAGGUAAGAGCUCACCAAGCCAAUGACGGGCANCGGGUUNGAGAGGAUGAUCCGCCACACUGGUACUGAGACACGGACCANACUCCUACGGGAGGUCAGCAG